GGGCGCGUAGCUCAGCGGUAGAGCAACUGACUUUUAAUCAGUAGGUCUCGGGUUCGAUCCCCGACGCGCUCACCA
Molecule: transfer RNA, 75 nt
Filed under: Rhodospirillales bacterium
Lineage: Bacteria; Pseudomonadati; Pseudomonadota; Alphaproteobacteria; Rhodospirillales
Description: tRNA-Lys
Rfam family: tRNA
About the family: Transfer RNA (tRNA) molecules are approximately 80 nucleotides in length. Their secondary structure includes four short double-helical elements and three loops (D, anti-codon, and T loops).
Source: RNAcentral